AUACGUAGGUGGCAAGCGUUGACCGGAAUUAUUGGGCGUAAAGCGCGCGCAGGUGGUUCCUUAAGUCUGAUGUGAAAGCCCCCGGCUCAACCGGGGAGGGUCAUUGGAAACUGGGGAACUUGAGUGCAGAAGAGGAUAGUGGAAUUCCAAGUGUAGCGGUGAAAUGCGUAGAGAUUUGGAGGAACACCAGUGGCGAAGGCGACUGUCUGGUCUGUAACUGACACUGAGGCGCGAAAGCGUGGGGAGCAAACAGGAUUAGAUACCCUGGUAGUCCACGCCGUAAACGAUGAGUGCUAAGUGUUGGGGGGUUUCCGCCCCUCAGUGCUGCAGCUAACGCAUUAAGCACUCCGCCUGGGGAGUACGGUCGCAAGACUGAAACUCAAAUGAAUUGACGGG
RNAcentral lists this ribosomal RNA (396 nucleotides) under uncultured bacterium. Its description in RNAcentral is "partial 16S ribosomal RNA". It matches the Rfam family "Bacterial small subunit ribosomal RNA", at positions 523 to 917 of the family's 1533-position model. The record is from RNAcentral.